CCGGUGGAACUGAGCAAUCGAAUAAAAUAUGAAGUAUCAAAUCAUCAUUUGUGUAACCAUCGUUGUCAUUUUUGGUACGGUAAAUUCGCUGCCCAGCGAAAAUAGAAGAUAUUGCGGUGCGCGGUUGUUAUACGCACUGGCAGAAGUGUGCCAAGAGCAACUUCACAACGCCAGCUCGAAGCCACAGGGACAAGCCAGCACUUCGGCACCAGUUACCGAUGUUGUUAGCACAACGGCUCGGAUGCGAAUCCGUUACAAAUUGAGCGAAGAAUGCUGCUUCCGGCCGUGCAGUAUCGAUCAACUGAAAGACUACUGUGUUUAGGCGUAUAAUUUCGGCAAUCAUGGUAGUUUGCCUUACCCAUUCCCACGAUAUUGUCGGUUGCUUGUGUUUUUUCUGCCGUUGCCAUAUGCUAUUUUUCUGAAAUAAAUGUUUUUUUUUUAAUAGUAAAAA
Long non-coding RNA from Malaya genurostris, 451 nucleotides. RefSeq lists it as uncharacterized. The transcript has 3 exons. Lineage: Eukaryota; Metazoa; Arthropoda; Insecta; Diptera; Culicidae. The record is from RefSeq and is a predicted model, not a curated record.